This 1237-nucleotide ribosomal RNA is filed under the name uncultured fungus. RNAcentral's name for it is "eukaryotic LSU rRNA". The stretch from base 579 to 1237 matches the Rfam family "Eukaryotic large subunit ribosomal RNA", at positions 1 to 676 of the family's 3401-position model. Lineage: Eukaryota; Fungi. The record is from RNAcentral.
GGUCAUUUAGAGGAAGUAAAAGUCGUAACAAGGUUUCCGUAGGUGAACCUGCGGAAGGAUCAUUACCGAGUUAGGGUCUUCUGGGCCCGACCUCCUACCCUCUGUCUACUUUACCAUUUGUUGCUUCGGUGGAUCCGUCCUCUAGGGGACCGCCGGAGGGUUCACCCCCUCUGGCCCGCGUCCGUCGGUAGCCCACCAAAACUCUUGUUCAAAACGUGUCGUCUAAGCAAAAAUCAAAUAAGUAAAAACUUUCAACAACGGAUCUCUUGGUUCUGGCAUCGAUGAAGAACGCAGCGAAAUGCGAUAAGUAAUGCGAAUUGCAGAAUCCGUGAGUCAUCGAAUCUUUGAACGCACAUUGCGCCCUUUGGUAUUCCGAAGGGCAUGCCUGUUCGAGCGUCAUUAUCACCCCUCAAGCUCCGGCUUGGUGUUGGGCUGGGUUCGUCACCGAACCAGCCUCAAAGACAGUGACGGCGUCCCAGAUGGAACCGGUACGAGGAGCUUUUAACCGAGCAUGUACGCGGCGGGAAUCUGCGGGCGGCGGUCUUUACCCACUACUCUUCGGAGUACUUUCUAAGUGUUGACCUCGGAUCAGGUAGGGAUACCCGCUGAACUUAAGCAUAUCAAUAGCGGAGGAAAAGAAACCAACAGGGAUUGCCUCAGUAACGGCGAGUGAAGCGGCAACAGCUCAAAUUUGAAAUCUGGCUCCUUUCGGGCCCGAGUUGUAAUUUGUAGAGGAUGUUUCGGGUACCGCGGCGACUUAAAUUUCUUGGAACAGAAUGUCAGAGAGGGUGAGAGUCCCGUCUGGAGUCGCGGUAGGGCCCAUGUGAAGCUCCUUCGACGAGUCGAGUUGUUUGGGAAUGCAGCUCAAAAUGGGUGGUAAAUUUCAUCUAAAGCUAAAUAUUGGCCAGAGACCGAUAGCGCACAAGUAGAGUGAUCGAAAGAUGAAAAGCACUUUGAAAAGAGAGUUAAACAGUAUGUGAAAUUGUUGAAAGGGAAGCGCUGGCAACCAGACUUGCGUGCGGAGGUUCCCCCUCGCUUCUGCCUGGGCUACUCCUCCGUAUCCAGGCCAACAUCGGUUUUGGCGGUCGGUUAAAGACCUUGGGAAUGUACCUUCCCCCGGGAAGACUUAUAGCCCAGGGUGUCAUGCGGCCUGCCGGGACCGAGGAACGCGCUUUGUGCUCGGAUGUUGGCGUAAUGGUUGUCAGCGACCCGUCUUGAAACACGGACCAAUAUACAU